This 283-nucleotide long non-coding RNA is filed under the name Brachypodium distachyon (stiff brome). RNAcentral's name for it is "long non-coding RNA (BDIS_LNC005050)". The record is from RNAcentral. Lineage: Eukaryota; Viridiplantae; Streptophyta; Magnoliopsida; Poales; Poaceae.
UUUUAUUUGGUUUUCCAGGUACUCCGAAUAAUGGCAUGCAUGGACGGGAGUUGUAGCACUAUACAUGGACAGCACACAUCACACGUUAUAAAUUAGUCUUAGGUUCAUUCUUAAUGUCUUAAUAGAUAUAAAGUCAAUGUUGAGAACCCCUUUCAUGUACCUUUGUUAGUUGGAGUUGUUAGCUGUUUGAGACUUCUUAUUUAGUUUCCUUGGAGUCUACUUAUUUAUUAUGAACUGCGUGCAUGUCUUUCUAGUUGUGGAUAUAUUUGAGAGAUAUUAUAAA